Molecule: long non-coding RNA, 14859 nt
Filed under: Lynx pardinus (Iberian lynx)
Lineage: Eukaryota; Metazoa; Chordata; Mammalia; Carnivora; Felidae
Rfam family: tRNA (bases 9645-9729)
Source: RNAcentral
GUGAAAUUGGCUCUGUGAAUUAUCAAGGGUGAGUUGCGGUUCUAUUUGUUAGGGUAAAGUAUACGCCUCAGAAAGUGUUCAAUGAGCUGGAAACACAAAGCAAAGAUCAGCCAUGAGUACCAUCUUUCUCUAAUCCCAGGUUCUCUAGAAAGAUGAGCCUAAAGCAAGGAUUAAGGUAUGGAUGCUUUCUUUGAGAAGUGUGAGCCUAUCAGGAGGUGGGGGGAAGAAAAACGGAAGAAGACACAGAAAGAUAUAAAGCAGUGCUAUGUGAUUCAUUACUGCACUUGCUAGUCCUUUAAUGAGUCACAGAGAGCUGUUGCGGGUCAUUCAGGUUCACUUGCUGAGGCUAUGAGACUUUUCUAGAAGGGCUACAAAGAACAACUACACAUCAUCAAAGUCUAUGGAAGGAAGAAAGAAAGUGGAUUUAUCUGCCCAGCUUGCUCCCAUCUCCCAUUUCCUGUUAGUUAAGGCUGACUCCAUGGAGAGCUAAUUCCCCUGCACUGCCACACUGUUUCAUCCAAAUCCCUGGAGGCCACUGGGGAAAUCAAAUUCUACACCUGCAGGAUGGAAUUCCAUCCAGGUCUGCAAGUCAAAGGAGUGACUCAGUGCAGUUGAGCUCUGGGUGUGAGGUACAUGGCUCAUGAAGUCCUGGGGUUUCAAAUUGGGGAGCCCUGCAAAGGGCUCAUGACUUCCCAUUAAGAUGUGACCCUCGUGAUUAAGGAGUGCACUUGUCAUGAUGAGCACGGGAUGAUGUAUGGAAGUGUUGAAUCACUAUACUGUACACCUGAAACCUGUAUAACACGGUAUGUCAACCAACUGGAAUUAAAAUGAAACAGAAAAAAAAAAGAUGUGCCUCUGAUCAAGCUGUUUCAGGGCAGUUCAAGUUGGAAUGCAUGCCAAUCAAUGACUACUAAAGGAACACUGUUAGCAAUUUGGUAUUAAAUUAAGCUCUGUGGAGGAUAUGAAGACAUUUAUACCUCAGUUCUUGCCCUUAAGAUAUCCAAACAUAUACAUAGAUCAGAGUUCUGGGCUACUAAGGCUGUUGGAAUUUCCAGGGCAGGGUACCUAUGAAGAGGGAGCUAGAUAGGGGCACCAGAAGUAUACAUAAGGAUUCACUGCAUCUCUGUGGCCAAUGAUUGAUGUAUGAGUUAUAUAUUGCAGCCAAACACCAAAACUUAGCAGCUUAAGACAACACACUUUCAUCUUCUUGCAGUUUCUGUGGCUUAGGAAUCCAUUCAUGGUCCCUCUCCUUCAGGAUUUUCACAAGGCUUGCAGCAGCCAGAGCUGUGUCUCACCUGAAGUCUCAACUGGGGAGGACACACUCCCAAAUUCAUUUACCUGGUUGUUGGCAAGAUUCAGUCCCUUAAGGACUGUUGGACCAAGGGCCUUAUUCCUUGUUUUGGCUACUGACUUGAGGUUGCCCUCAGUUCCUUGCCACACAGGCCUCUCCAAUAUGGUAGCUUGCUCAUGUAAGCCAGAAAGUCUGCUAGCAAGACAGAAGUCAUAACAUGCUAUAACCUAAUCACAGAAGUGAUAUGCCAUCACUCUUGCUGUAUUCUAUUGAUUAGAAGCAAGUCAUUAGAGGACCCACAAAUAUAUGGCCAACUAAUCUUCAACAAAGCAGGAAAGAAUACCCAAAGGAAAAAAAGACAGUCUCUUCAGCAAGUGGUGCUGGGAAAACUGAACAGUGACAUGCAGAAGAAUGAACCUGGACUACUUUCUUACACCAUACACAAAAAUAAAGUCAAAAUGGAUGAAAGACCUAAAUGUCAGACAGGAAACCAUCAAAAUCCUUGAGGAGAAAACAGGCAGCAACCUCUUUGACCUCAACCACAGCAACUUCUUACUAGACAUGUCUCUGGAGGCAAGGGAAACAAAAGCAAACAUGAAUUAUUAGGACCUCAUCAAGAUAAAAAGCUUCUGCAAAGCAAAGGAAACAAUCAACAAAACUAAAAGGCACCCUAUGGAAUGGGAGAAGAUAUUUGCAAAUGACAUAUCAGAUAAAGGGUUAGUAUCCAAAAUCUAUAAAGAACUUAUCAAACCUAACACCCAAAAAAACCCAAAAAACAAUCUAGUGAAGAAAUGGACAAAAGACAUGAGCAGAUACUUUUCCUAAGAAGACAUCCCGAUGGCUAAGAGACACAUGAAACGAUGCUCAGUAUCACUUAUCAUCCUGGAAAUACAAAUCAAAACCACAAUGAGAUACCACCUCACACCUGUCAGAAUGGCUAACAUUAACAACUCAAGCAACAACAGAUGUUGGCAAGGAAUGAGGAGAAAGAGGAAGCCUUUUGCACUGCUGGUGGGAAUGCAAACUGGUGCAGCCACUCUGGAAAAUAGUAUGGAGGUCCCUCAAAAACUUAAAAAUAGAGCUACUCUAUGACCCAGCAAUUGCACUACUAGGUAUUUAUCCAAAGGAUAUAAAAAUGCUGAUUCAAAGGGGCACAUGGACCCCAAUGUUUAUAGCAGCACCAUCAACAAUAGCCAAAUUAUGGGAAGACCCCAACUAUCCAUCAACUGACAAAUGAAGAAGAUGUGCUGUAUAUAUACAAUGUAAUAUUACUCAGCAAUCAAAAAGGAUGAAAUCUUGCCAUUUGCAACAACAUGGAUAGAACUAGAAUAUCUUAUGCUAAGUCAAAUGAGUCAAUCAGGGAAAGAUAAAUAUCAUAUGAUUUCACUCAUGUGGAACUUAAGAAAAAAAAGCAGAUGAACAUAGGGGAAGGGAAGGAAAAAUAAGAUAAAAACAGAAGAGGAGGCAAGCUACAAGAGACUCUUAAAAACAGAGAACAAACUGAAGGUUGCUGGUGGGGUGUUGGGUGGGGGGAUGGGCUCAAUGGGUGAUGGGAAUUAAGGAGGGCACUUGUUGGGAUGAGCACUGGGCGUUAUAUGUAAGUGAUGAAUCACUAAAUUCUCCUCCUGGAACCAUUAUUACACUAUAUGUUAACUAACUGGAUUUAAAUAAAAAAAAUUAUAAUGAAGGGAAUACAUUUACUAAAAUUGAACAUUCAUAUAUGAUUAUAAACAAAAAGUACUAUUUGCAACAUGUUAAAAAAAAAAAAAAGGAAGCAAGUCACUAGAGGCGCCUGGGUGGCACAGUUGGUUAAGUGUCUGACUCUUGAUUUUGGCUCAGGUCAUGAUCUCAGGAUCAUGAGAUGGAGCCCUGCAUUGGGCUCUGCACUGAGCAUGAAGCCUAUUUGAGAUUCUCUCUCUUCCUCUCUCUGUCUCUCGCUCUCUCUCUCUCUCAAAAGAAAAAAAAGAAAAGAAAGAAAGAAAGAAAAAAGAAAGAAAGAAAGGAAGGAAGAAAGAGAAAGAAAGGAAAAGAAGCAGCAGCAGCAAGUCACUGGGUCCAUCCCACACUCAAGGGGAGAGGAUUACAUAAGGGCAUGAAUACCAGGAGGUGGGGGUCCAUUGAGGGCCAUCUUGCAAGUCAGCUGUCCACCCUGAAGGGGGAUACAACUGGGAAGGCCCCAAAUAUUUAGAAAUUAAACAACACAUUUGUAAACAGACUAUGGCGGGGCGGGGGGGGGCAUCACAAGGAAAGUUGGAAAAUAUUUUAAACAGACUUGAUAGUGAAAAUGCAUCAUAGGAAAAUUUGUGAGCUGCGUCCAAAGCCGUAAUUAAAGGGAACGUUAUAACCUGAAAUGUUUAUUUGAAGGAUUAAGAAAGGUUUAAAAUCAAUGACAUAACUUGAUACCUAAAGAAGAUAGAAAAUGAUAAGCAAAUUGAACCUAAAAUACAAAGGCAAAUGUAAAAAUACAACAGAAAUCGAUAAAAAUACAAAAAUAAAUACAGAAAAUUAAGAAAACCAAAAAUGGAUUCCUGGAAAAGAUAACCACUGAUAAACCCUUAGCACAUCCUAAUCAAGAGAAAACACAAGUUACCAAUAUUAGUAUUGAAAGAGGGGAAAUCACUACAGGAACCACAACACUAAAAGCAUACAAAGAGAAUAAUAUCAGCAAUUUUAUGUCAAUAAAUUCAAUAACUUAGAUUAAAGGGGCAAAUUCCUUUAAAAACUCAACUCAUCAAGUAAUGGAAUUGGCACAUGACAGAAGCUUCCUCAGCCCUUGUUUGGCACAUGAUCUUAAACAGGGAAGGGAGAAUUACAAGAAAUGCUAAAGGAAGCUCUUCAGAAUAAAAGGAAAUGACACCACAUGGUAACUCAGAUCGACAGGAAAGAAUGAAAAGCACCAAAUAUGGUAGUAUGUGGAUGAAUAUAAAAACUAUAUGUUUUUCUUUCUCCUCUUAAUCUGUGUAAAAUUCACUUGACCUUUUAAAGCAAAAAUUAUGCCAUUGUGUUGUUAGAUUUAAUAUAUAUACAGGUAUUAUAUUAUUUCAUUUAUAAGACAUGUCCAGAAUAGGCAAAUCCAUAUAGACAAAAAAUAGAUGAGUAGCUGCCAGGGCUCGGGGAAGAGGGGAAAAGAGCAUGACCUCAAAUGGGUAUGGGGUGUCUUUUUGGAAUGAUGAAAAUGUUCUGGAAUUAAAUGAUGAUGGUGGUGGUUGCACAACUUUUUAAAUAUAACUUAAAAAAACACUGAGUUGUAUAUUUAAAAGGGUGAAUUUUAUGGUAUACGAAUCAUAUCUUAAAAAAUGUAUAUAGAGAUAAUAUAUAUGAUAAAGAUAGCAUAAAAAAACAUGGGGGGAAAUACAACUAUACUACCGCAAAAUUACUAUCUUUCUUGAAGUAAUUCAACAAAAAGUCUAAGAAGAUUGUGUUAAGUUAAAGAUGUAUGGUGUAAUCCCUAGAGCAAUCAAUAAAAAAUAAAUAAAAAGAGUUUAAAAAGCCAAGGUGAGGGGCAUCUAGGCAGCUCAGUAGGUUGAGCGUCUAACUUCAGCUCAGGUCAUGAUCUCACUGUGGGUUCCAGCCCUGCAUCAGGCUCUGUGCUGACAGCUCAGGUCCUGGAGCCUGCUUCAGAUUCUGUGUCUCCCUCUCUCCCUGCUCCUCCCCCACUCGCACUGUUUCUCUCUCUCUCUCAAAAAUAAAUAAACAUCUAAAACAAUUUUUUUUUUUUUUAAUCCAAGGUGAAGGGCGCCUUGGUGGCUCAGUCAGUUAAGUGUCCAACUCUUGGUUUUGGCUCACAGUUUUGUGAGUUCAAGCCCCACAUUGAUCUCCAAGCUGGCAGCAAGGAGCCUGCUUGGGAUUCUUUCUCUCUCCCUCCCUCCAUGCCCCUCCCCGCUUGCACUACCUCUGUCUCACUCAAAAUAAAUAAAUAAACUUAAAAAAAAAAAAAAAGGCAAGGUGAAAAGCUUCUGCUUCCAGUCAUGAAACAACUACUUUCAAAAAUUGGACAACAGGUAACACAGGACAGUGAUCCAUGAGAGGAGAGAAACAAUGAAGUGGGCACUAGACUUUCCCCAGCUUUUUGCCUGAAGGCAAAUUUGUGUCCACAGGUACAGGUAGAGGGAAUCAAACAGAGCCCAGUGACCUCACUGAAAUAAAAAUAUAGACAUUAGAGUUUAGGGAGACCAAGGCAGCUAGAAGUUGGAGGCCAGGGAUCUGGACUGGAGGGGAUCAUGCAAGAAGACAGAAUUUUGCAUAUAGCUCUACUUGAGUAUUUAAUGAGUACAGAGUUAGGCAUACAAAGAGUGAAAUUUCACAAAGUGAGGCCAAAAGUGACCAGAGUUGUAAACAUAAAAUUCCCCAGAGCUCAUACGUGGUACAAAGACAAAAGCUCUGACCAGCUAUGGUCGAGGGUCCUCAGUGAUCACCUGGGGAAUUAACAAACACCAUAAACUAUGAUUUCAACUACAGCAACUUGCAUAAAGGGUAAACCCUAAGCAAAUAAUAGUAAUAAUAAUAAUAUAAUAAUAAUAAUAAUAAUAAUAAUAAUAAUAAUAUUGAUGCGAACGAUUUCUAACUUAGGAAACUAGAUUUUUCUUUUUUCCUAAUAUAUGGAAACUCUCGCACAUUGCUGGUAAGAAUGUAAAAAAAUAGUACAGCCACUCUGGAAGACAGUUUAGUGGUUUCUUACAAAACUGAACAUAUUCUUAUUUUAUAUAUGUGUAUAUAGAUAGCAAUCAUACUCCUUGGUAUCUGACCAAAGGAGUUGAAAACUUACAUCCACAUAAAACCUUGCAUAGCAGGUUUGAAUAAACUUUAGCAGCCCUAUUCAUAAUUGCCAAAACUUGGAAGCAACCAAGAUGUCCUUCAGUAGGAGGACAUGAAUGGAUAGAUGAAUGGAUAAAUGGUGCUACAUCCAAACAACAGAAUAUUAAUAGCACUGAAAAGAAAUGAACUAUCAAGGCAUAAAAAGACAUGGAAGAACCUUAAACGCACACUACUAAGUGAAAGAAGCCAAUCGGAAAAGGCCACAUACUAUAUGAUUCCAACAUUCUAGAACAUCCCAACAUUCUGGAAAAGGCAAAACUGUGGAAACAGUAACAAAAUCAGUGUUGUGAGCGGCUAGUAAGGUGCAGGGGAGGGGGAGUUGGAGAGCAGUAGGAAUAGGCAGAGCACAGAUUUUUAGGGCAGUGAAAAUACUCUGUAUGCUACUAGAAUGUGGAUAUAUGUCAUCAGACAUUUAUCCAAACCCAUAAAACGUAUAACACCAAGACAGAAGCCUAACAUAAACCCUGGAUUUGGGUGAUUACGAUGUGUCAAUAUAAGUUCAUCAGUUGUCACAAAGGUACCACUCUGGAGGAGAAUAACCUAAUGGGGGAGGCUGUGUAUGUAUGAAGGCAGGGGCUAAGUGAGAAAUCUCUGUACCUUCCACUCAAAUUUUGCCAUGAACCUAGUGCUCUAAAAAAAUAAAAUCUAUUUUAUCUUUUCUAUCUCUAACCUAAAAAUUGUAUUAAGAAUCUACCUCACAGAUACACCUAUGUACACAAAACUUUUUAAGGAAUUUUAUUCCAAUAUUUUUACAGCAAGACCUCGGGAACAUUCUUAGUACUCAUUAGUAUUGGGUUGGUUAAAUCAAUUAUGCUGCAUCCACAUAAUAGAAUAUAAAGCAAUCAUUUAAAAGAAUAAGACACUAUGGAAAACAGUAUGGCGUUCCUCAGAAAUUAAACACAGAAUUGCCAUAUGAUCCAACAAUUCCAUUUCUGGGUCUCUACCCAGAAGAAUUGAAACAGGGACUCAAACUAGUACUCGUACACUCAUGUUCAUGGCAGCAUUAUUCAGAGUAGCCAAAAAGCGGAAGCAAUCUAAGUGUUCAUGGUCAGAUGAAUGGAUAAACAAAAUAGGGUAUAUGCCUACAAUGGAAUAUUAUUCAGCCUUAAAAGAGAAAGAAAUUUGGACACACGCUGCAACACUGAUGAACCUUAAAGACAUUAUGCUAACUGAAGUUAAAACAUUAAGCCAGUCAUGAAAGGACAAACACUGUAUCAUUCUAAUUGUAUGAGGUAUCAAGAGUAGUUAAAUUCCUUUUUUUAAGUUUAUUUAUUUAUUUUGAGACAGAGCAGGGAAGGGGCAGAGAGACAGAGGGAGAGACAGAAUCCCAAGUAGGUUCCAUGCUCCAUUCCCAUUGCAGAGCCCCACGUGGGGCUUGAACUCACGAACCGCGAUAUCAUGACCUGAACCAAAACCAAGAGUUUGUUGCUUAACCAACUGAGCCACCCAGGUGCCCCUGGAGUAGUUCAAUUAUUUUUUUUUCCUUUUUUAUGUUUAUUUAUUUAUUUUGAGAGAAAGAGAGCUCGAGCAGGGAAGGGGCAGAGAGAGAGGGAGAGACAGAAUCUCAAGCAGGCUCUGAACUGUCAACGCAAAGUUUGACACAGGGCUCAAUCCCACAAACUGUGAGAUCAUUACCUGAGUGGUAAUCAAGAGUCAGAGGCUUAACCAACUGAGCCAUCCAGUCGUUCCUAGAGUAGUUAAAUUCUUUUUAUUUUUAUUUUUAUGACUUACAUUAUAGUUUUAUUGAGCAGUGUUUGUCUACAGCAAGAGGAAGACAAAAGUUAGGAGGACUGGGGAUAGUUUUUAGGUUAGCCAACAGUAGCAUUGGCCUCAUUCAUACUGUCUGUGUCAUCUGUACGUGUAGAAUAUACCUCUUAUCUCACCUGUUACCUGGUACAGAGCAGUGCUCAAUGAAUCUUAACUAUGAUUUGCUGUUUAGAGUAGUUAAAUUCUUAAGAGACAGAAACUAGAACAGUGAUUUCCAGGGGUUGGGAGGAGGAGAGAAUGGUGAAUUAGUGUUUAGUGAAUGUGGGAUUUCAGUUUAGGAAGAUGAAGAAGUCUGGAGAUAGAUGAUGGUGAUGGUUGUACAACAAUGUGAAUGUACUUAAUACCAUUGAAAUGUAUACUUGCACAUCAUUAAAGCGGUAAAUUUUAGGUUAUGUGUAUUUUGCCACAAUGACAAAAUACUACUCCAAUAUAAAAUCAUUUAAUGAUGCAACUACUAAGCUCAGAGACAGAAAAGAAGAAGGGGGGGGAGGAGGAAGAAGAGGAAGAGGAAGGAGAAAAAGGAGACAGUUCUGUGUGAACAAUGAUGAAUAUUUUUAUUUUUUUUUAUUUUUUUUUAACGUUUAUUUAUUUUUGAGACAGAGAGAGACAGAGCAUGAAUGGGGGAGGGGCAGAGAGAGAGGGAGACACAGAAUUGGAAGCAGGCUCCAGGCUCUGAGCCAUCAGCCCAGAGCCCAACGCGGGGCUUGAACUCACGGACCGCGAGAUCGUGACCCGAGCUGAAGUUGGACACUUAACUGACUGAGCCACCCAGGUGCCCCAAUGAUGAAUAUUUUUAAUGAAGAAAAGUGAGGGCAUGACAAUGUGAAUAACAUCUUACCAUUAGCAUAAACAAACAAACCCAAAUAUUCGUGUGUGUGUGUGUGUGUAUGUGUAUCUGUCAACAAGAGCUAUUUGUAAAUACAAAAUAUAAACAUACCUAUAUGAUUAAAUAUGAUAGAAUAUUUGUGAAAGGAUGCACAGUAGCUUGUAGAGUCAAGCCUCUUCAGGGGAGUACUGGUUGGCUCGAAGUUAUGGUAUCAGAAAAGUAAUUUUUAAAUAUACAUCCUUUUCCAAUCCUUUGAAUUUUGAACCAUGUGCAUAUAUUAACCAUUCAAACGUUCUAAAAAUAUGUUUUUAAUAAGAAUUUGUGCAGUACCUUUGCAGGAUGCAUGCAUAGGAUUUAUUAAGGCCGAAAGGAAACACAGCAGCCUGGCUGAUGAAAUAAAUUGCACGAAGAGGUAGAAAUGGAAACUUCCACGUUGUUUCUGAAGCCAGGCAAACAAAUCAUUUGGACUCCCUGAGCUUAACCAAGAAGGCACAAUGGGAUGAUCCUCCAGGUGGGAUGAUUGAUGGGGACCAGGCUGUAAGGGGCUGGCAGAUUGGAGUUUAUCCAGGGGGCAAAACAGAACCCUGAGAAAGACUCUGGCAGGGAAACAAGACAAAAGAAAAGGGGAUUGAAGGAAGAGAAAUCCAGCAGCAGCGUGGGCUUAACCCCCAGGGUGUGAGUGGGCACUUGCCUGGGGUUUGGCAGAUUGAAAAUAGCAGAAAAUAGGACAGACAAAAUCAAACAAUGAGGGCAGCAGAACUCUACAGAAGAGGUCUGAGCCAGAGGAGGGGGUAACAGAGGUAGACAGAAAGAUCCAAGGGCAAGACCUUGGGAAGGAGGGAAGAAGGGUGUGGUUUCUUAUCCCGUUGCUGGUUUUGAAAGCUGGCCAUGCCUCAGAUUCACCUAAAGAAUGUUUUUUAAAAUACUGAGUCCUAGUUUUGGGGCGCCUGGGUGGCUCAGUCGGUUAAGCGUCCGACUUCGGCUCAGGUCAUGAUCUCGCGGUUUGUGGGUUCGAGCCCCGCGUCGGGCUCUGUGCUGACUGCUCAGAGGCUGGAGCCUGUUUCAGAUUCUGUGUCUCCCUCUCUCUCUGACCCUCCCCCGUUCAUGCUCUGUUUCUCUCUGUCUCAAAAAUAAAUAAACACUUAAAAAAAUUUUUUUUCUAAAUACUGAGUCCUAGUUCCUAUACUAGAUUUACAUAAUUGGUUUAAUCAACCGAGCCACUCGGGUGUCUCCCCCCCACCCUGCUUUUUUUUAAUGUUCAUUUAUUUAUUUUUGAGAGAGAGAGAGAGAACACAAGUUGGGGAGGGACAGAGAGGUAGACACAGAAUCUGAAGCAGGCUCCAGGCUCUGAGCCAUCAGCACAGAGCCCCAAACAGGGCUCAAACACACCAACUGUGAGAUCAUGACCUGAGCCAGAUUCAGAUGCUUACAAAUCUAUAGAAUUGGAAGUGGAGUGGAUGGGGGAGGCAGUAAAAACUUAGAUAUUUAUACUAUCUCCACCAUUAGCACCCUAGUCCAAACCACCAUCAUCUCUUGCCCAAAAUAUGGCACAUGUAUAUACUGGGUUCCCAUUUCCAUCCCCGGCCCUCUCCUAUAGUGUAUACUCUUCCUCAGGACAGCCAGAGGAAUCCUUUAAAACCCAAAGUUAGAUCUUGUCAGUUAUCUGCUCAAAACUUUCAGUGUCUUCUUAUCUCACUUAGUGUAGGAUCCUAAAUCCUUCCAGUGGCCUAGAGGUCCAUCUUAAUUUGCACCCAGCCUCCAGCUUCCACCUCUCACCUCCUAAGUCUCCCUCCACCCCAACUUACUGAUUGUUAGUCACUGGCCUUAUUGCUGUUUUUUCUUUUCUUUUCUUUUCUUUUCUUUUCUUUUCUUUUCUUUUCUUUUAAGUUUAUUUAUUUUGAGAGACAGAGAGAAAGCACGAGCAUGGGAAGGGUAGAAAGAGAGAGAGAGAGAAAGAGUCUCAAGCAGCCUCCACACUCUCAGCACAGAGCCCAAUGCAGGGCCCGAACUCAUGAACCAUAAGAUCAUGACCUGAGCUGAAACUACGAGUUGGACGCUUAACCAACUAAGUCACCCAGGCACCCCCUUAUUGCUGUUUCUUGGAAAAGAACAAUAAAAUAAAAUAAGCAUGCUCUUAUCUCAGGUCCUUUGCACAUACUAUUCCUUCUGCAUAAUGGCUCUUUACCCAGAUGUCCCCCCAGAUAUCCACAUAUCUUCUUCCCUCACUUCCUUUAGGCCCCUUAUCAGAGGUCUUCGCUGACCCCCUGUCUAAAAUAACAUGUCUCCAUUCCCAUCACCUCUAUGACCCUCACUCCACUUAAUUUUUUUAUGGCACUCGUGACCAUCUGACAUACAUUUAUGUGUGUAUUUGUCACUUAUCUAUGACCCUCAUUCUGUUUUAUUUUCCUUCAUAGCACUUGUGACCAUCGGAAAUAUGUUAAUGUGUCUCUUUAUCACUUAUCUUCCCACGCUCAAGUGUAAGCUCCAUGUGAGCCAGAAUUUUUUUGUUCACUGUUGUAUCCCCAUGUUUAGAGAAUGUGUUAGCACUAAAACAUAUGAGAAACAUAACCAAUAUUUUUAAUAAAUAAAACUGUUUAUAAGUUCCCCCAAAUGAGUCUUACACAGCCACCCUGGUGUGCAACUACUGGUGUAGCUAAUAUGAAGUAAACUCUCAAAUAUUAAAAUGUGGAUUUGGCUCAGCAUGUCUCUCAAUUGGCACUGCUUUCAUUGACAUCCAGGGAACAGACACCACACAAGACUAUCCUUUGAAAGCUAUGCCUGGGGUAGGGCACCUGCUCUGGGCACAUCAGGAAGCAGAAGUUCUGCUCAUUUUGUUCCCUGUCUGUUCUCUGAGGCACCUACUGUUGUCAUCUGGGUGGAAACAAGACUGCAUCACUGAAGCCCUCGGGAAGCAGGAUAUGCCAGUCAUCACAGGAGCCACAGAGUCUGAAGAAUUCAGAACUUGCUGAGUGCUACUUUCUUUGGCUGUGAAAUUCAUCUUUUGGAUUUUCAUUUUCUAAUUUGAUGGUCUUAGAACUUAAAUCACAUGUCAGAAAUAACACAACAAAGAAUAGAAUCGUGCUGAAUAGCAGUUAAAGGGACAACCGGAUAAAUAAUACUUUCUAUGCAUUAGAACGUCAUCAUUUAUAAAAGGUUUCCACAUAUCUUAUCACACCUUGAACCUCUCAACAGCCCUGUGAUGGAGACAGUCCUGGCAUCGAGGCCCCUACUUUGUAGAUAAGGAAACUGGGUGUCAUAAAAUUGGUUGUCUUGUCAAUUAAAAAAUGAUCCAAAGACUUUGACAGCUCACCAAAGAAGGUAUUCUGAUGGCAAAUAGCAUAUGAGAAGAUGCUCUGUGUAAUCGGUCAUCAGGGAAAUGGAAUUGAAAACAACAAUGAGAUUCCACUACAGCCUGUUAGAGUGACCAAAAUCCAGAACACUGACAUCAAAUGGCUGAUGAGGAUGUGGAGAAACAGGAACUCUCACUCAUUGUGGAUGAGAAUGCAAAAUUGCACAACCACUUUGGAAAAGUGAACAUAGAAAACUAAACAUACUCUUAUCAUAUGAUCAAGCAAUUAUGUUCCUUGUUAUUUACCCAAAGGAUUUGAAAACUUGUGUCCACACCAAAACCUGCACACAAAUGUUUAUAGUAGUUUUAUUCAUAAUUGUCAAAACCUGGAAGUAACCAAGAUGUUCUUCUGUAGGUGAAUGGAUAAAUAAUCAGUGGUACAUCCAGACAAUGGAAUAUUAUCCAGCACUAGAAAGAAAUAAGCUAUUAAACCAUACAAAGACAAGAAGGGACCUUAAACACUACUAAGUGAAAGAAGACAAUCUGAAAAGGCUAUAUAUCAUAUGAUUCCAACUAUAAGACAUUCCAGAAAAGGCAAAACUAUGGAAACAGUAAUAAGAUCAGUGUUGUCAGGGGUUAGCAGGGAGGGAGGGAUCAACAGGUAAAACACAGAGGAUUUUCAGGGCAGUAAAAAUAUUCUGUAUGAUACUAUAAUGAUGGAUUCAUGUCAUUAUACAUUUAUCCAAACCCAUAGAAUUUACAACACCAAGAGAAAACUCUAAUGUACACUAUGGAUUUGGGGUGAUUAUGAUGUGUCAGUGAAGAUCCAUGCCAUUUCAUCUGAUGCCUUUCACAAAUGAGUCCUAACUCCCUCUUCCAAGUUCAUUUUGCAGUUUCAGUCUGCUCAACUAUGGAUUAUAUUCCCAGAAGUCCCCAGACUUCCCUGCACCUUUUUUACACAAUGCUCUUUUUUUUUCUAUUUAUUUAUUUUCAGAGAGACAGAGAGAGACAGAGCAUAGAUAGCAAGAGUGGGGGAGGUGCAGAAAAAGAGAGAGAACAGGUUCUGCACUGUCAGCAUAGAGCCCGAUGGGAGGCUUGAUCUCAUGAGCCAUGAGAUCAUGACCUGAGCUGAAAUCAAGAGUCUGAUGCUUAACUGACUGAGCCACCUAGGUGCCCCUAUGCAGUGUUCUUUCUUCAUGAGAUAUUCUUACUGUUUUCUCCAUCCAGCAGACUUGUACUCACCUGCACUAGUAGCUACAGGUUAGGUUGUGCUGUUGAAACAAACAACAAACUCUUUAUAAUCACUCUAGUGAUAUAAAACUCAAGGUUUAUUUCUCAAUCAUACUACCUCUCCGUCAUGAGUCAGCUGGGGGUUCUGCUGAGUCUUUCUUACUCAGAAACCAAGGCUUAUAGAGCAGUCUGAUUUGCAGUGUUGUCAGGCACUGGGGCAGGGAAAAAGAGAGAGACAGAGAGAGAGAGAGCACGCCAGAGAGAGAGAGCCAAAUUGAGCAUGGGUUUUUAAAGCUUCCAUUCAGAAAUAGCAUACAUCAAUUCCAGUCACUUUCACUGAUCACAUCACAAGCGUGGGUUCAGGCAGGGAGUCCACAGAUAGUUGGAUCUAAUUAUGUUUGGAAUAUGCCAGAAAAGUAUAAUUGAGUGAGGGUUAAGGAAGGAGUAUUGAAAAUAAUGGGCUUGGGGUCUAAUCUGGGUAAGAAGAGAAGUGAGGUCAUAAUGUGUUUGACAGUGGUGGGGUCAAUGAGUUGGAGACCUCUAUAAUACUGAAGGUGAAUGGUCUCUGGAGGAAUUCCAUGUUUAUUGGGAAAGACAUGUAAACAGGCUUGGACGGAGGGCAAAAUUCAAUCCACAAUAACUACUAAUUUUGUUUAUUUAAAUAUACCUAUUUUUAAAUUUUUUAUUUUUUCCCCAACUAAAUUGUAAGGUCCAUGAGAGCAGAGACCUUGUCUAUCUUUCUAACCAUUAUAUCCAAAAUGGCGAGAACGAAGCCCAGCACAUAGUAGCUGAUCAGCAAAAAGCUGAAAACGAAUGAGCGAGGGAACAGGUGGAGGAGUAGGUUUCUUUUACUUCCAAGGGCUCCUGAGAAAAGCUGGUAAGUGACCCAGUCACCCUGGCCUAAUAGAUCAAUUCCAAAGAUGCUACCAUCACUUUCUUUCUUUCCCAUAGGCCUGCACCUUUCUUCCAUUAAGUGUAGCUUAUUUCUCUUUCUUUUGAAUCUAAGCACACCCUAGGACUGCUCUCAUCAAUAAAAUGCAAUAAAAGUAUAUAUAUUCUGGGAUCUCUUGGCCCAGGACUUAAAAGGACUACAAACUUCUAUUUCCUUUCUCUUGGAACUCAGAGACCAUGAUGCAGAAACAAGCCACACGGAGAGGCUAUAUGGAGGAGAAUUCAAGUCCUUUCUUUGGCAGCUCCGGCCGGCACCAACCACCAGUCAUAUGAAUGAGCCAUCUUGGACGUUUCAGCCCAGUCUUACCUCUGCAGCCCCAAUAACAUCACACAGAACAAAACAACCUCUCAGCUAAGAUAAUUGACCAACAAAAUUGUGAAAAAUAAUACAAUAGUAGUAGUCUUAAGCCAUUAAGUUGGGGGUGAUUUGUUGCACAGGGACAGAUAACAAACAGAAUUUGGCACCUAGUCACAUGAUGGUCUAUAAGAAAAACCUAAAACAUGAAGGACUGGCUUUGAGAGCAAAUAGUGGGGGGAGGCCCGAAGAUUCUCAAAAGGCUAUUGGUGAAGACUGGCAGAGCAGUGAGGACAUCACUAUUGGAUGCUGGAGUAAAGGGGAUACCAUUUAUAUACCAGGAGAAAUUUUAUUACAACUGUCGCUGGUGUUAACAUUACAAAUAGAAAUGGUGC